RNAcentral lists this long non-coding RNA (740 nucleotides) under Fukomys damarensis (Damara mole-rat). RNAcentral describes it as "lncRNA (ENSFDAG00000025038.1)". The record is from RNAcentral. Lineage: Eukaryota; Metazoa; Chordata; Mammalia; Rodentia; Bathyergidae.
UUUGAUUUUAAUUAUUUCAGAGCUGAAGUUUGUUAUAAUCCCUUGCGAACACAAGAUGGCUGCUUCUGCUCCAGGCAUCUCAUCCAUGCUCAAGUGAAGAAUAAAUUGGUCAAAAGAAAAGUAGCAUCAAUCGGUUGUUUGAAGGGAAGAGAAAGACUCCUCCAACAGGCACCCAGCAGACAUUCACUGCCAAGCUACACCUGUUUCCCCAGCCACCCUAGCUACAAAGGAAACAGAGACAGCAGUUAUACAGCCUUCUAUCUUCUAUGCAGCCAGGCAGGCCUGGACAAGCAUACCCUGCAUGGGCACGAGCAGCUGCCAAUCACAUGUUGUCAAACCCGAGCUCCAGACAGACUCUUGCAGUCUGGUGGGCUUCACCCCACCCCUUUGAGCCUCCUGCACAGUCUGGGGAGAAAAAGGUUAAUGCCACACUGUGUUUGAGGUUCAUCAAACAUAUUAAACUUUCCUUGAAGAGCUUUGGAAAUGCCCAAGUGUUAAGAUGACCCUGCAAAGCACCUUGCCACUUAAUGUUAAAGCCUAUCUGUAUUUUGAUGGAAAUACAAUCCGUAAGUUUUCUUGAUUUAUAUUUCCUCCUCUACACAGUUCUAAGAGGUAGCUGAUUGAUGCCCAAAGGCCCUUUGAGGCUUUUUUAAACAAUUUUUUUCAUCAAAAAAAAGAAAAAGGAAGCUGCCUUCACUGGCAGCAGCAGGAAUUUGACUGCCAAACAUGUAGAGCCAGCC